This 169-nucleotide ribosomal RNA is filed under the name Deltaproteobacteria bacterium. Its description in RNAcentral is "partial 16S ribosomal RNA". It matches the Rfam family "Bacterial small subunit ribosomal RNA", at positions 1 to 165 of the family's 1533-position model. The record is from RNAcentral. Lineage: Bacteria; Pseudomonadati; Myxococcota; Myxococcia.
UAAUUGGAGAGUUUGAUCCUGGCUCAGAAUGAACGCUGGCGGCGUGCCUAACACAUGCAAGUCGCACGAGAACGUUUCAGCUUGCUGAAACUAGUAAAGUGGCGCACGGGUGAGUAACGCGUGGGUAAUCUACCUCCGAAUUGGGGAUAACAUUGCGAAAGCGACGCUA